RNAcentral lists this ribosomal RNA (411 nucleotides) under uncultured bacterium. RNAcentral describes it as "bacterial SSU rRNA". It matches the Rfam family "Bacterial small subunit ribosomal RNA", at positions 9 to 416 of the family's 1533-position model. The record is from RNAcentral.
GAGUUUGAUCGUGGCUCAGAUUGAACGCUGGCGGCAGGCCUAACACAUGCAAGUCGAACGGUAACAGGAAGCAGCUUGCUGCUUCGCUGACGAGUGGCGGACGGGUGAGUAAUGUCUGGGAAACUGCCUGAUGGAGGGGGAUAACUACUGGAAACGGUAGCUAAUACCGCAUAAUGUCGCAAGACCAAAGAGGGGGACCUUCGGGCCUCUUGCCAUCGGAUGUGCCCAGAUGGGAUUAGCUUGUUGGUGGGGUAACGGCUCACCAAGGCGACGAUCCCUAGCUGGUCUGAGAGGAUGACCAGCCACACCGGAACUGAGACACGGUCCAGACUCCUACGGGAGGCAGCAGUGGGGAAUAUUGCACAAUGGGCGCAAGCCUGAUGCAGCCAUGCCGCGUGUAUGAAGAAGGCC